Molecule: ribosomal RNA, 314 nt
Filed under: uncultured bacterium
Lineage: Bacteria
Description: bacterial SSU rRNA
Rfam family: Bacterial small subunit ribosomal RNA
Source: RNAcentral
AGUGAAUGCUGGCGGUAUGCUUAACACAUGCAAGUCGAGCGAGAACGGCCUUUAGCUUGCUAAAGGUGUCAGCUAAGCGGCGGACGGGUGAGUAAUGCAUAGCUAACCUGCCUUUUGGAAAGGGAUAACAGUUGGAAACGACUGCUAAUACUUUAUACUCCGUUAUAACUCAAGUUAUAAUGGGAAACGCUUUUGUGCCAAAAGAUGGAGCUAUGUCCUAUCAGCUUGUUGGUGAGGUAACGGCUCACCAAGGCUAUGACGGGUAGCUGGUUUGAGAGGAUGAUCAGCCACACUGGAACUGAGACACGGUCCAG